UGGGGAAUAUUGCACAAUGGGCGAAAGCCUGAUGCAGCAACGCCGCGUGAGCGAAGAAGGCCUUUGGGUUGUAAAGCUCUGUCGGGUAGGAAGAUAAUGACGGUACUACCCGAGGAAGCCCCGGCUAACUACGUGCCAGCAGCCGCGGUAAUACGUAGGGGGCGAGCGUUAUCCGGAAUUACUGGGUGUAAAGGGUGCGUAGGUGGCUGCUUAAGCGUGAGGUGAAAGGCAAUGGCUUAACCAUUGUGAGCCUCGCGAACUGGGUGGCUUGAGUGCAGGUGAGGAAAGCGGAAUUCCUAGUGUAGCGGUGAAAUGCGUAGAUAUUAGGAGGAACACCAGUGGCGAAGGCGGCUUUCUGGACUGCAACUGACACUGAGGCACGAAAGCGUGGGGAGCAAACAGG
This 403-nucleotide ribosomal RNA is filed under the name uncultured bacterium. RNAcentral's name for it is "bacterial SSU rRNA". It matches the Rfam family "Bacterial small subunit ribosomal RNA", at positions 355 to 776 of the family's 1533-position model. The record is from RNAcentral.